Molecule: long non-coding RNA, 458 nt
Organism: Octodon degus (degu)
Lineage: Eukaryota; Metazoa; Chordata; Mammalia; Rodentia; Octodontidae
Exons: 2
Source: RefSeq, a predicted model, not a curated record
CAAAUGAUAGAGAAGUCAGAGCAGGGGUACCUAUGAUCCUUCCUGAGACUGAAUCAGUCCCUACAGGCCUGGGAAGAGUCUUUCAAUAAGAUAUGGAUCUAGGAAAAGAUUGAACAGUGCAUAAACUGAUGCUUUAGACUUCUGAAUACUACAGAAAAUGAGGGUAGGCACUUUUUAUUGGAGCUAAAACCCUGAGAGGGACCGCUGGCUCCAAAGUGCCAAAGCAGCUUGUUGGCAGAGUAAGGGGUUUGUAUGUGGGGAGCUGGGAUAGGAGAGAACAAAGAAGCUGGAAGCUAACUGUUCUGGGAUCAGGUCAUCUAUCUUAAUCCAUGGUAACUGAUCCAUUUUGUGUUUGCAUAAGGUUCACCAUUCUUUUCCUUUUUAAGUUUCAUUAUUCUUGAGGCGCUGAGGGCCUUUUGUUCUGGAAUGGUCUGUUCUAUUAAAAGGAAUUAAUUAAG